This is a non-coding RNA of Benincasa hispida (wax gourd), 3893 nucleotides long. Lineage: Eukaryota; Viridiplantae; Streptophyta; Magnoliopsida; Cucurbitales; Cucurbitaceae. The record is from RefSeq and is a predicted model, not a curated record.
AAAGGAUGGUGCAAAGCAUGGCAAAGAAAGAGCCACGAUGAGGAGCUUAGAGAGGAACGUGUAAAUCGCUAUCUAUAUAUCUCUUCGAAAAUGGAGGAGAAAUGAUUUUGAUUAGAAAUGUUUCCUUUUCUCUCUCUAAGGUAAUGAAGAUGAAGGAGAAGAAGAAAUUAAACAACAAUAUGUACGUGGUUCGGCCUAAGAUAACCUACAUCUACAGGAAGGGAAAAUACACUUUAUUGAAGGAUUUUUCAAGAAGAUAAGUCUACUUUUUCAUAUUUUCUUUUUACAGUAGAAGUUUUGUGUUUAAAAUUGUUUGAACUAUUAAUAUAGAAAAAGAAAGAUUGUAACAAAUUUGUUAAACAGAUUGUUGUAGUUUAAUGAACUAGCCAUUGAAAUCAUUAUUGCUUCAAAUCUUCACCUUAAUCUCAACCUUGUAGCUUUCACCCUUAUAGAUCUGAUGUUUUUCUAACCUUUUUCAGGUAACAGAAAGCUGAUAUGCUCGAGACAUUUAGCAAGCUUGAACUUCGUAAUGAGCUUAGUAAGCAUAUCAGCUACAUUUUCGGAGCGAGUUGAAAUAUUACAGAAGUGGGCUGCGCUUCAUCAAUUCCUAAUUUCUUGAAAAUUGAGAGUGGCAUAAGGUUGAUGCUUGCUCCCAGAUCACACAGUGCAUGUCCCACAUCUAGCCCUCUGAUUGAGCACAGGACUGUGAAGCUUCCCAGAUCCUUCUGUUUCUUGGAAUAUCCUUAAAAAAUUUGACGUACUUUGGCAUUUGUUCUAAGGCUUCUACAAAUGGGAUAUUAAUGUGCAGUUGCCUCAGAAGUUCAAGAAAAGCUUAAACUGUUGCUCAUCAUUCUUUUUCAGCAAGCGUCUGGGAAAUGGUGCUUUCAGCUGCACCGCAGGUUCUCUUGCAUUAGACAUGCUUGUGUUCGAAUGACUUAUGGAUUCUGACGUCCGUUCUUCUUGAUCUUCCAAUGCCUUCAGGCGUGUUGUGUGCUCAGUUGAAGGAUUGUUGGUUCUUGGGUUCACGGUUCCUUCUACAAGAGGUCUGUCACUUCGCAAUAUCACCGCAUGACAUUGCUCUUUUUCGUUGUUAUUUCCUGAGGUUUUCGUAUUGCUGAGCAAGACUCCUGGCGGCCAAUUCUUCAGCUCACUAGCAAUUUGCCCCAAUUGUAUCUCCAGAUUUCUAAUGGAUGACGCUUGGCUUUAAGAGGUUUUCAAGCAGAGAAGUUGAACUCGAUGCAUGACUUCCUUUAUUAAAGGAUUGUUGGUGCGGCUGCUACGAUGGCUAGAAUCCAAGCGACGGUCCUUGCUUAUGCUGCUGAUUUACCCCUGGUUGGUGUUGCUCCUGUUGGUGACCUCCCCAAGAGAAAUUUGGAUGGUUCCUUCAUUCGAGAUUAUAGGUGUUCGAGAAUGGAUUGUUUUUAAUAAAGCAUACUGACUGCAGAUUAUGUGGGCAAUCAGUGUAGGAAUGAGGAUCUCCACAGCCCACACAACUAACCAUGGCCUGUACGAAUGUUUCCACCUAAUUUACCUUUUGCAAGUUUGAUGCAUUCCCCAGUGAUAUAUUCUGCAAAAGGUUUGUCAUGGUAGCUAGUGUGCAGAGAGCGUGGCUAUUGGGUUAGAAUCAACAGAGUUCACAUUCUAAGAUCGUCUCCUCUUAUAUGCUCCUACGUCAUAAGUGUCAUCUACCCAUUCCAUAUUAUGCUUGGCGAUGCGGUCCAGUAUUUCCUUAGCUUCGUUAUAUGAUUUGUCCAUGAUACCACCAGCUGUAGCUGUAUCGGCUGCCAUUUGAGAUGCUCUGUUUAAUCCGCCAUAAAAGGUUUCCAUCUGGAUAGUUAAAGGUAGUUCAUGAUUGGGGCAAUUCUUGACCAGUCCUUUAAAGCGCUCCCAUGCGGCACUUAAGGUUUCAAAUUCUUCUUGCUAAAAGUUCAUUAUCUCUCUCCGACUUCUUGCAUUCGUGGUGGAUGGGAAAUAUUUUUGUAUGAAUUUAUCCACUAACUUUUUCCAGAUUGUUAUCUCCCUAGGCUUCAAAGAACUUGCCCAUUGUUUUGCUUCGUCAUGUAGAGAAUAUGGGUUAAUCCUAGGAAUCGCAAACGAGUUGCACAUCUCCAGGAAACAUUUCAUGUGGGCAUGAGGGUCUUUUCCCCGAGCACCCCCAAACUGGCCAGCUAUUUCAAGCAUUUAUAACAUUACAUAUUUCAUCACAAAUCUUGUCCCAUCUGGCGUUGGAUAUAUGAUCCUUGGUGAGAAAUCAUACAACACAAGAGACACAUACUCCCGCAUGGGACACGUACUACUGUUUGCCAUUAUGAUAGGAUUUUGAGCAGCGUGGGCUAGCUAUUGAGCUAAGUUAUGAUUUGCUUGUUCGUCAGCCAUUUGUUGUUGCCUGAUUUGCUGUCUGGGUAGUUGUUGCCUUAACCUACGGUGACGAUUAAAUCGAUUUCUUCGUCAAAUGGUCCUUUCAACUUUGGGGUCGUAUACAAGUUCAGGAGUGUUUUCCCUUCUCAUAAACAUUUACAAGCUUAGGCUUAGCUCGUAAUAAUCCCUCAGCUGUAGUUUUCCUAUAAAAGAUAUAAGCAAAAUUUUUGGUUAGUUUUAUUGCUAAAUCCCCAGCAACGGUGCCAAAAACUUGUUCGCUGGAUUCGUGAUGCAAGCUUAGGAGUGUAUUGUAUAAGGUAAUUGGAAAAAUAGAGUGCAAAUGUGAUUGAUGUGUUGAUGCGUUAGUGAUGCGUGAAGGGACGCGUUACACUCCUCUUUAUGCGUUCAAUUUUUCCUGAAUCAGAUCCAAGUAUAAAUCCAAUUCAGGUUCCUGGUAAGUUCAGGGUCAAACAUAGGGAUUUAGAUUAAAGCUAACGUAAAGCUUGCGUUGUAGCUGAUGUAGAAGUAUCCUAAGUGAAUGCGGAAUGAUCUACACUAAGUUUAUUGUGUGCGUGCAAGAAGAUACAAAAUUCUCUCUCGAGCUAAGCUUUCUCCACUGCUUGAUCGAUGGUGGGGGUGGUUCUCUUCCUUCUUGUGUUCUUGUCACAGCAGCACAGCUCUAAGCCUCUAAAUUUCAAAAUUAUAUAAAUUGAGCUAAUUCUUUCUCCAUCUGGUGGGACUUUCUUCUAUAUAUAGGUGUUAUUCUUCACUAGCUUAAUGAUGGGGCAACAUUAAAUUCCAUACCUUAGUCAGCCGCCUGACACUCAGAAACUUUUCAGACGCCGUCAGCUGUAGAUGUCCAUGCUUGCAAAUGGUGAUUUGACACAAACAGCUUGAAUCAAUGAAUCUUCCUCGUGUUGAAACCCUUCUGACGCAUGCUUAUGCGUUGACGUUGCCUGUGACACAGAAUCUUUGUUGAAAUCCUGCAAUAUUAUGCAUUAGUGCCUCAUUUUUCAGUAAUAAACACUCUUUUGUAUGAGUUUAGUAGUGCUCGAGUAAUUCCAUGCGUUUUCUCUAAGAAUGAUGAGAUUUUAUCAUUAAAAAUCCUAAUUGUUCCAACUUUUGAGAGACAAUAACUUGUAUUUCUACAAGUUAUCAGCUGUGGCGAACUCCAUGGAGCCUAGAAGUCACAAGCGCGGCAAAGAUAUAAAGCGGAAGUAUCAUCUUAUCUGCAAGAUAAUGCAUCGAGGGGACGUGAUAGUCACGAAGAUCGAUUCGGAGCACAACGCUGCUUACCAGUUUACGAAGGCUCUCACGACUACAGUUUUUUAGGGUCACCUUCAGAUCAUGAGUCUGCGGACUGCCCGCGGCUGGACUAGGGAAAGUGGGAGAUUUUUGAACUGCGCCUUAGUGCCGUAGUUUAUUAUUUUGUACUUGUUAUUAUGUUGUAAACCUACUCGUUUUAGGACAAGUGAGAGAUUGUUGGUGUUGAUGCCUUAAACUUUCGUAGGGUUCUGUAGUUUGUAAACACCUGU